CCGGACAAGCAUACUGCGAGCACGACGAUGCCGCAUAGUCGGCGAACCUUGGAUCGUCUACAUCGCCAGUCGAUUGCUUCGAUGACGGAACCCGCCGCAAUUUGUGCGCGCAUAAGCUUGCCCUGAUCUGAUGAUGGACCACGGUGCGCCGUGUCCUCACCGGACACGGCACCCGUCGUGCGAUCGGAUCAGGUACUUGGGGGACGGUAGAGUUGGUGCGGCGUAUUUUUGACCACGUCCCGAUAGUUCACGGACACGCAGCGUGCAGGCGGGACG
This 276-nucleotide unclassified non-coding RNA is filed under the name Hevea brasiliensis (rubber tree). The record is from RNAcentral. Lineage: Eukaryota; Viridiplantae; Streptophyta; Magnoliopsida; Malpighiales; Euphorbiaceae.